This is a long non-coding RNA of Megalopta genalis, 655 nucleotides long. RefSeq lists it as uncharacterized. NCBI's taxonomy places the organism in Eukaryota, Metazoa, Arthropoda, Insecta, Hymenoptera, Halictidae. The record is from RefSeq and is a predicted model, not a curated record.
UCGUUGCAGGUGUAGGUUAGUUUGAAGCACGAGCCCUCGGCAAGCAGUUAAUUCCGUAGAAAAGGUGGAUCAGACCUUGCGAGACAUCCGGCGAACGACACGAAAAUUCGUUCCGUGGCCGAGCUAAUACAAAUCGGAUAUUCGACUUUCUCCAUUGUACAACGUCGAACGGCAUCGAUCCUUGCCGCUAUCGACCAACGACUAUGACCCGAAGACAUCGUUCAAUUCACUUUAUCGGGUUAACAGCUCCCCGCGAGUCGAACGAAGGCACCGAGAUCUUGUAGAAUGCAUGAUAAAUUCCAGACAAACGCGCUCUCGGUUUCGAGAAAGUGCGUCCCAGCAGCAGGAUUAUCGCGGGCACACGGGCAACAUAAUAACUGCAUGAGGUCUCCGUGGGCGGUCGCGCGCCGCCUACGCCGUCGUGUUUCAUCUUCAACACGGAAUUAAGCACGGCGAGGGCUGCGAAUGCUGCGCCGGACAGGCUUGUUUACACUUAAUUUAGUGAUUAAAGUGUUACCUGUAUCCGUUCCGCGUCUAGAAAAUUCAACGAUCGAGAGAACGAAGCCGGCUGAAUGGAGGGACACUUGUUGAAGACCUCCGCUAAUGAAUAUCGUUCCGCUCGGACUACGUUUUCGUACUGUGUAUGUGUAUGUGU